Molecule: ribosomal RNA, 253 nt
Filed under: uncultured bacterium
Lineage: Bacteria
Description: partial 16S ribosomal RNA
Rfam family: Bacterial small subunit ribosomal RNA
Source: RNAcentral
UACGUAGGGGGCAAGCGUUGUCCGGAUUUAUUGGGCGUAAAGAGCGUGUAGGCGGCCUUACAGGUCAGCUGUAAAAACUCGAGGCUCAACCUCGAGACGUCGGUUGAAACCGUAAGGCUAGAGUCCGGAAGAGGAGAGUGGAAUUCCCGGUGUAGCGGUGAAAUGCGCAGAUAUCGGGAAGAACACCCGUGGCGAAGGCGGCUCUCUGGGACGGUACUGACGCUGAGACGCGAAAGCGUGGGGAGCGAACAGG